RNA transcript from Arvicola amphibius (Eurasian water vole), 1178 nucleotides. It is a transcript of the gene named sulfotransferase 2A1-like, with no coding region annotated. The transcript has 5 exons. NCBI's taxonomy places the organism in Eukaryota, Metazoa, Chordata, Mammalia, Rodentia, Cricetidae. The record is from RefSeq and is a predicted model, not a curated record.
CUGGAUUUUGGCCAAAGCCUUUCAGGGGUUAUCCUGACUUCAGUCUGCCAGGGACGCUCCUCUAUUCCACCCAUCUUUUCUGGUGGAGUGGCUCCAACACCUGCUUUGCCACAUUUAUUUCUGUCAGAAUCCCACCCAUCUCAAUUCCCACACCUGUGUAAGUUCUGUUCUUCCAGCAGCUCCAGAGGACUGUGCAUUGCCCUUUGCUCUGCAUUGCUAGGUGGGCUCUUAGUAGCCUCUCUGGAGAAUACACAGGGCACUUACACAUAACUCUUGGGUGAGCGCGGUGACGUGGGGUUCCUCACUGAAGCUCACAGCUGUGUCAAGAUGACUGAAAGUACCUUCUUGUUCAAGGGGAUUCCAAUGCGGGCUGCUUUCGUUAGUGAGGAAUCUCUGUUGUUUGCUCAGAAUUUUUUGGUGAAAGAUGAUGAUGUCAUCAUAGUGAGCUACCCUAGAUCAGAUUAUUUAUGUCAUCAGGAAUCCAAAAGAUGUUGCUACAAUCUAGUUAUUAUAUAAGAAAACAUUUGUCCCUUUUGAAAAAUCAAACAGACUUUUGAAGAACAUCUUCAUGCAUUUAUCCAAGGUGAUGCGACUUUUGGAUCCUGGUUUGAUCACACCAUUGGAUGGCUAACAAGGAGAGACACAGCGAACUUUCUCCUCAUGUCCUAUGAGGAGCUACAGAGGGACCUCAGGGGCAACAUGCAAAAAUUGUGUCAAUUUCUGGGCAAACCUCUGAGUCCAGAGCAACUCGAUUCUGCUGUCCAGCACGUGUCCUUCUCCGCCAUGAAAGAGAACACGAUGUCCAACAGUAUAAUGCUCAGAAAUCCGGAAGAUGACAAAGUCCACAAUAUACCAUUGCUGAGAAAGGGCACAUGUGGCAACUGGAAGAAUGUCUUCACUGUGGCCCAGAGUGAAGCCUUUGACACGGCCUAUCAGGAGAAGAUGGUGAGGCUCGAUCCUGGUCUCUUCCCCUGGUUGAAUACUGCUGACUGAUUCCCCGCCCCCUCCCAGACAGGGUUCUCAGUGCAGUCCUGGCUGUGCUGGAACUAGCUCUUUUCACAGGCUGGCCUUGAACUCAAAGAUCCCCCUGCCUCUUUACUGCUGGGAUUAAAGGGCUGCAUCUCCACAGCCUGAUUGUCUGGUUGGAAGACUGUAAAUAAACCUUCCAAGAACUCUGA